RNAcentral lists this ribosomal RNA (622 nucleotides) under uncultured bacterium. Its description in RNAcentral is "bacterial SSU rRNA". It matches the Rfam family "Bacterial small subunit ribosomal RNA", at positions 56 to 658 of the family's 1533-position model. The record is from RNAcentral.
AACAAGCCAAGAUGAAGUUUUCGGAUUGAUUCUUGGGGAGUUAGUGGCGGACGGGUGAGUAACGCGUGGGUAACCUACCCUUUUCACGGGGACAACAGUUGGAAACGACUGCUAAUACCGGAUAAUCUUAUUGGACCACAUGGUCCGAUGAGCAAAGAUGGCCUCUGUAUAUGCUAUCGGGAAAGGAUGGACCCGCGUCUGAUUAGGUAGUUGGUGAGGUAACGGCUCACCAAGCCCGCGAUCAGUAGCCGGCCUGAGAGGGUGGCCGGCCACACUGGGACUGAGACACGGCCCAGACUCCUACGGGAGGCAGCAGUGGGGAAUCUUCCGCAAUGGGCGAAAGCCUGACGGAGCAACGCCGCGUGAAUGAAGAAGACCUUCGGGUCGUAAAGUUCUGUCUUUAGGGAAGAACAACUAUAGUGCUAAUACCGCUAUAGUCUGACGGUACCUAAGGAGGAAGCUCCGGCUAACUACGUGCCAGCAGCCGCGGGUAAUACGUAGGGAGCAAGCGUUGUCCGAAUUACUGGGCGUAAAGGGCGUGUAGGCGGAAUUUAAGUAAGGUGUGAAACUCAGGCUCACCUGGAGACUGCACUUUAACUGGAUUCUUGAGGCAGGAAGGAAA